RNAcentral lists this long non-coding RNA (1025 nucleotides) under Cyanistes caeruleus (blue tit). RNAcentral's name for it is "lncRNA (ENSCCEG00000010011.1)". The record is from RNAcentral. Lineage: Eukaryota; Metazoa; Chordata; Aves; Passeriformes; Paridae.
GAAACACACUGAUCACAGAGCAGCCAACAGCCUGCAUCAAAUUCAGCUUUGUCUCUUCUUGUUAUCCACCUGCUUUGGCCAUAAUCUAACUUCUGAACUCCUCACCAAACAAUGCCUUGCACCAAGUUGCUUCAUAGUACAGGUCUGUCCAUGUCUCUGACUUUCUCAGGGUUUGUGCAACUCCUCUUUUGACUCUGUUUCAGUUACCUCAUGAUAAGGAGAAUAGAAAAUCUUGCUCUCACAAUUGCUCACUUUCUUCCCUUCCCUGGACAGUUACUGCUUUGUAGCAGAAAUGUUGAAAAUAAAUGAAUCCAUAAAUGAAUUGUAGUACUCCACAAUCCUAAUAUUUAUUUAAUCUGUAGGUUGUGUGAGAGUUGAAAAAGCUGAAGUCUAUGCAGCAGUUUUCUUCAGAUGGACAUGCUAGAAAGGGAAAAGUGGAGCAGACCUGGUCAUUCAGGAAUUCUUCUAGUGGUUAUUUGUAUUAUAGUUUGGUUUUCCUCAGUUUUAUAAAUUGUCUUGUCCUUGUACAAAUAAACUGUUGACAAGGUAAAAGGAUCCAUGAGUUCUAUGAAGGACAGGGUAGUUGUGACAGCUGGUCAGUAGACUUUUAAAGAUAAUACAAGUCGCAAAAAUGUCAUUUUAAACUUACAUAUCUCCUCUGACCUCAUUUUAGUCUGUGCUUGCUGUCUGAGCUAUUAUAUAGUUUGUUCUUAGAGGUGCUAGAUGUUUGGUCCUUUAUCAUUUGAAUAUUGAAAGCCUGAAAAACAUCACUGUAAGUGAAGCUAUUUUUUGGGCCUCACAGGUAUACACACUAACUCAGUUCUCCUCACAAGUUAAUGUUCUGUGUAACCAAACUGAACUGGUUUCAUUUUCCUAUAUGAAAUAUGGAAAUGCAUAUGCAGUUCGUGUAACUUCUUGGUGAUUGUUUCCCUGGAGAACCAUCAGUUUGUUGAAUGUACACAUUUCUGUUUCCAGGUUAUUAUGCCUGUAAUAAACAAGCAGGAUAUAAAUCUAAUUAAGGGCCU